CAGGAGGCUCAGAUGAGGCCUCCUUGUCUCCAAUCCCAGCCCCUCCCAGGGCAUCCUUAGGGGACACUUCAAGGAACCCAGCAUCCGUGGGCAUGACUUUCUUCAUGGAGGCUCAGAGCUUGAGAGGACAGUGUCUGCAGUGAGGAGUUUGAGAUGUGGAGCCCUUUAUGACAUCACUUCACCAGGCAUGGGGUCAUUGAUGCUGUCUUCCAGUCAGAGCCUCUUACCAGUCGGUCAAGGUUCAGAGAGGAGUGUGGGUGGGCUCGUCCUGCGCUUCACCCUUCUGCGCGGAAUACCUGGAGUGCUAGAGGGGGCAUGGUGUGGCGAGAUGGUGCCAAUUUCAGACAACCACAAUCAAAAGGGAAUCCGAACCACCCAGAGUGUGAGGGAAACCAUGUUUAGAAAUUCCAUGGUCACUUUUCUUUUUGUGGCUGUAUGCUCAUAAAAGUCAUUAAAAAUGGAAACCUUCCCUCUAAUUAAUUCUAAAAUAAAUCUCAAUAUAUACAACAUAAA
This is a long non-coding RNA of Peromyscus eremicus (cactus mouse), 513 nucleotides long. RefSeq lists it as uncharacterized. NCBI's taxonomy places the organism in Eukaryota, Metazoa, Chordata, Mammalia, Rodentia, Cricetidae. The transcript is spliced from 2 exons. The record is from RefSeq and is a predicted model, not a curated record.